GAAGUAGACCAAAGUUUGUCUGAUCCCGUCCAUCUGUUUGAACGAAACUAUCUGGACAUCCUGAAGUUCCGCGUUCCUGCUGUACUUCUCCUGAUGAUUAUCAGUGUAAUUGUCGUAAAUUUAAGAUACUGGAGGAAAUCUGUUCAACAAGGAACAACAAACACCGAAU
Molecule: long non-coding RNA, 169 nt
Organism: Hippoglossus stenolepis (Pacific halibut)
Lineage: Eukaryota; Metazoa; Chordata; Actinopteri; Pleuronectiformes; Pleuronectidae
Exons: 3
Source: RefSeq, a predicted model, not a curated record